RNAcentral lists this ribosomal RNA (482 nucleotides) under uncultured bacterium. RNAcentral describes it as "partial 16S ribosomal RNA". It matches the Rfam family "Bacterial small subunit ribosomal RNA", at positions 30 to 507 of the family's 1533-position model. The record is from RNAcentral.
AUUGAACGCUGGCGGCAUGCCUUACACAUGCAAGUCGAACGGUAACGGGCCUUCGGGUGCCGACGAGUGGCGAACGGGUGAGUAAUACAUCGGAACGUGCCCGAUCGUGGGGGAUAACGAGGCGAAAGCUUUGCUAAUACCGCAUACGAUCUACGGAUGAAAGCAGGGGACCGCAAGGCCUUGCGCGGACGGAGCGGCCGAUGGCAGAUUAGGUAGUUGGUGGGAUAAAAGCUUACCAAGCCGACGAUCUGUAGCUGGUCUGAGAGGAUGAUCAGCCACACUGGGACUGAGACACGGCCCAGACUCCUACGGGAGGCAGCAGUGGGGAAUUUUGGACAAUGGGCGCAAGCCUGAUCCAGCCAAGCCGCGUGCAGGAUGAAGGCCUUCGGGUUGUAAACUGCUUUUGUACGGAACGAAAAGCCUUCUUUUAAUACAGGAGGGUCAUGACGGUACCGUAAGAAUAAGCACCGGCUAACUACGUG